CUAAAAUUUAUGAAUGAUCCAAGGACUGAACCUGAGAAGGAAUAAUUGUUUUCUAGAAAUGGCCCAUGGGCGAGACUCUUGAAAGCUGGAGAAGCGUAAGAGUAGUCCCCAUUUUUAAGACAGAUUCGCACACCUCAAUAGUAAGCAACUACAGGCCAACAAUGACCCUUUUAAAAUACUAGAGAGGCUAGAAAAACAAAGAAUGGAGGAGCACACAUUCGCACAAACUCGAUAAUCCCAUAGAUUUACAGCCUUGUGCAUCAAACAAUUUAAUCAGCACAGUUCAAUCGCUAAAGUCCAAGCCAAGUUUUACCAAGUUUUAGCAGCCUGUUUAGACCUCAAGAAAGUAUUUGCCUUCGUGAACAUAGACACCCUCCAGAGAAGAACUCUAGUCAAAGGAAAUUGUAAAGUGACAAUAAGUAAAGGUUUAAUCGCAAUUGACGAAAUAUGCAGUUCCCUCAAGUGGAACGAAGGAGCUAUGCGAGACGACUGAGGGCGUUCCCCAGAAUUGGUGCAACGCAACUCCCAGAGUAUGCCAAAUUGCGCAGGAGAACUAAGAAAAUUCUCUAGCAAUUUUUCUCUUGUUAUAAAAUGGCUUCAAAAUUUCGAGAAACAAGUGUAUGUUCUAACAAACAAAACCUUCAAAAGGUAGUGUUGUUGAUUUGACUGCGACGACCGACGGACUGCUCGAGAUGUGAUACAGCGUUCGUGUAUUCACCAACCGAGGCGGCAUUGAGGCUCCCGACCAAAUGUGUCUGGCAAACUCGCUUUCAGAAACACGAAAUUUAUUGAUUUUAUUAUAUUUAAUUUAUUUUAGUAAUUGUGCAGAGAAGGUGCUCGUGAAUUUGUCUGAAUUUUCCAGACUACUGUUCUACUGGCUACUUUAAAAACAUAAGUAAAGAAGAGUUUGACAACUAACUCCAUUACAUGAGUGAGAUAUAGAGACAGAGCGAUCAAGAAAGCAUGGGCUGUUAUCUUUUCCACUCAAUUGCUGCUAAUGAACCAAAUCGCUCUUGUUUGGUUUACAGGUUUACAGUGUUAAAGUUUUGUUCGUCAAUGUAUAUCAACUUUAUGGUUUUCAAUAAGAUUUUGAAGUCAGGAGUUUUAAGAUUUUGCCAUGGCAUUAUGAAAAAUCUCAUCUUUUUAAAUUUGUUUCAGUUCAAAAGUUUGCUAAAAAUAAAAACAUUGACAUACAAAUACAUGUGAA
Drosophila nasuta is the source of this 1207-nucleotide long non-coding RNA. RefSeq lists it as uncharacterized. Lineage: Eukaryota; Metazoa; Arthropoda; Insecta; Diptera; Drosophilidae. The transcript is spliced from 3 exons. The record is from RefSeq and is a predicted model, not a curated record.